GGACCAUCAUGUUGGUCGUGCCUUGGUACGUACUAGUUUAUUGGUUUCUCCCUUCUGACGAACCAUGAUGUCAUUUAUUUGGUGUUGUGGGGAAUCAGGACUGUUACUUUGAAAAAAUUAGAGUGUUUAAAGCAGGCUCACGCUUGAAUACAUGAGCAUGGAAUAAUGAAAUAGGACGUUUGAUCCUAUUUUGUUGGUUUCUAGGAUUGACGUA
RNAcentral lists this ribosomal RNA (214 nucleotides) under Campeiostachys nutans. RNAcentral's name for it is "Elymus nutans partial small subunit ribosomal RNA". The stretch from base 37 to 214 matches the Rfam family "Eukaryotic small subunit ribosomal RNA", at positions 685 to 864 of the family's 1831-position model. Lineage: Eukaryota; Viridiplantae; Streptophyta; Magnoliopsida; Poales; Poaceae. The record is from RNAcentral.